CUUCCCCCUUUCCUCCCUUCCAAAACCAUCUGGCACGUGAGUGCGGGGGUAUUGAUCAAAUCCGUGUGCGCUAGUGACCCCAUGCUAAUCUAUAGCGUUGCCGGCCAUCGGGCUUGGUCGAGGAAGUGCAUCUGCCGGCUUGCCCCGCCGGUGCCGCUCCAAAAUAGACCUCUGAUCCUCCCUUAAAGCCCCCCUUUUGCCCCGACCUCCAAACCUCCACUCAGAGGAAAAGUUUUGCAGGUCCUGGAAAAAUAAAACCAAAGAAAGGGAAGGAGAAAACGUAUUCUGUCCUCAUCGGAAAAACUGAAAUACGCCAGGAAUCGGAGACUUUUCAAAACUUUGUAUUUGACAGUUUAUUUCAGAACUUCGGAGUAGCAUAUACACUAUCAAAUACUUUUAAAAAAACACACCACAAUCUAGGUUUUGUGGUCGUUGCAACAUACAUACGCACUUCACAUCACUUUUUUUAAAUAGAAGUUUUCCAAGAUUCCUUUAUUUCGUUUCCUUCUGAAAGUGCGUUCACUUGCUCGGGAGUAACAUCUGCUUUGCGGACAGCUGGAAAGUCUCGUUUCAGAGGGCAAACCGCAGCGUUUGGAAACGGAGGUGGGGAUUUUACUCUCUUUCAGAGGCAUCGCAAAAACUCCCGGAGUGGAUCUGCAGCCCACCGCUCGGAUCCAUCUGAAUUAGGAUCUGUUCAACGUUUUAGGAUCGCAGAUCGAACAACAUGCUAAUUUUGGGGAGCGGAAUUUGUACCGGAUUUAACAUAUAUCAGUGUUUUUUAUUCCUUAACUCAUUUUGUACAUUUCUCUAAUGGAAAUCUAUGCGGAGGUGGACAUCGAGGAUGUGAAGAGAACAGGAGUGGAGUUCAUCGUAAUCUUGUCUUUAUUUAACUCUAGGCACUACAGUAUAUUUAUGACGGUAUAAUUAGAAUAAUAAGAAAUAUAGAUUCUGCGUAUACAAGCCCAUUGGUAGGUUUCCUACAGCAGCACAAAUGCAUAUACUGUAUAAAUAAUUCUUAUCAGUGCCACCUUUUAUUUAUUUAUUUAUUUAUUUAUUUAUUUAUUUAUUUAUUUAUUUAUUUAUUUAUUUAUUUGAUUUAUACCCCGCCUAUCUGGACUACCAGACCACUCUAGGCGGAUUAAUUAUUAUUUUAAAUAAGCUAAUAAAAAAAUAGGACUAAUCCA
This 1184-nucleotide long non-coding RNA is filed under the name Pogona vitticeps (central bearded dragon). RNAcentral describes it as "lncRNA (ENSPVIG00000005926.1)". The record is from RNAcentral. Lineage: Eukaryota; Metazoa; Chordata; Lepidosauria; Squamata; Agamidae.